Molecule: ribosomal RNA, 501 nt
Filed under: uncultured bacterium
Lineage: Bacteria
Description: partial 16S ribosomal RNA
Rfam family: Bacterial small subunit ribosomal RNA
Source: RNAcentral
AUUGAACGCUGGCGGCAGGCUUAACACAUGCAAGUCGAGCGGGGGAAGGUAGCUUGCUACCGGACCUAGCGGCGGACGGGUGAGUAAUGCUUAGGAAUCUGCCUAGUAGUGGGGGACAACAUCUCGAAAGGGAUGCUAAUACCGCAUACGUCCUACGGGAGAAAGCAGGGGAUCUUCGGACCUUGCGCUAAUAGAUGAGCCGAAGUCGGAUUAGCCAGUUGGUGGGGUAAAGGCCUACCAAGGCGACGAUCUGUAGCGGGUCUGAGAGGAUGAUCCGCCACACUGGGACUGGGACACGGCCCAGACUCCUACGGGAGGCAGCAGUGAGGAAUAUUGGACAAUGGGGGGAACCCUGAUCCAGCCAUGCCGCGUGUGUGAAGAAGGCCUUAUGGUUGUAAAGCACUUUAAGCGAGGAGGAGGCUACUCUAGUUAAUACCUAGGGAUAGUGGACGUUACUCGCAGAAUAAGCACCGGCUAACUCUGUGCCAGCCGCCGCCGUAA